Molecule: ribosomal RNA, 469 nt
Filed under: uncultured bacterium
Lineage: Bacteria
Description: partial 16S ribosomal RNA
Rfam family: Bacterial small subunit ribosomal RNA
Source: RNAcentral
GACGAACGCUGGCGGCGUGCUUAACACAUGCAAGUCGAACGGUGAAGCGAGUGCUUGCACUCGUGGAUCAGUGGCGAACGGGUGAGUAACACGUGAGUAACCUGCCCAUCACUCUGGGAUAAGCACUGGAAACGGUGUCUAAUACUGGAUACGACCAACCCUUGCAUGGGGUGUUGGUGGAAAGAUUUAUCGGUGAUGGAUGGACUCGCGGCCUAUCAGCUUGUUGGCGGGGUAAUGGCCCACCAAGGCGACGACGGGUAGCCGGCCUGAGAGGGUGACCGGCCACACUGGGACUGAGACACGGCCCAGACUCCUACUGGAGGCAGCAGUGGGGAAUAUUGCACAAUGGGCGAAAGCCUGAUGCAGCGACGCCGCGUGAGGGAUGACGGCCUUCGGGUUGUAAACCUCUUUCAGCAGGGAAGAAGCGAAAGUGACGGUACCUGCAGAAGAAGCACCGGCUAACUACGUG